GGUCCCAUAGCUCAGUUGGUUAGAGCGUCGUACUAAUACUAUACAUAUGAUAGCAUUGGUCUUGUCUUGUCUCAUAUCUUGGAUAAUGAAAAGUCUAUGCGAAGGCCGUGAGUUCGAGCCUCACUGGGACCA
Molecule: non-coding RNA, 132 nt
Organism: Xylariaceae sp. FL0594
Lineage: Eukaryota; Fungi; Ascomycota; Sordariomycetes; Xylariales; Xylariaceae
Source: the annotation of a GenBank genome assembly